AGCAGCCGCGGUAAUUCCAGCUCCAAUAGCGUAUAUUAAAGUUGUUGCAGUUAAAAAGCUCGUAGUUGAAUUUCGGGGCCUGUCCGUCGGUCGGGCUUCACGGUCCGUACUGGUGUGAUGGGUUCCUACCUUCUGAAUAACCGGCAUGCCAUUCAGUUGGUGCGCCGGGGAAGCAGAGCUAUUACCUUGAAAAAAUUAGAGUGCUUAAAGCAGGCUAGUGCUUGAAUAGAUUAGCAUGGAAUAAUAAAAUAGGACGGCAUGGUUCUAUUUUGUUGGUUUCUAGGAUCACCGUAAUGAUUAAUAGGGAUAGUUGGGGGCAUUAGUAUUCAAUUGUCAGAGGUGAAAUUCUUGGAUUUAUUGAAGACUAACUUCUGCGAAAGCAUUUGCCAAGGAUGUUUUCAUUAAUCAAGAACGAAAGUUAGGGGAUCGAAGACGAUCAGAUACCGUCGUAGUCUUAACCAUAAACUAUGCCGACUAGGGAUCGGACGAUGUUAAUUUUUAAUGACUCGUUCGGCGCCUU
This 520-nucleotide ribosomal RNA is filed under the name uncultured Acaulospora. RNAcentral describes it as "SSU rRNA". It matches the Rfam family "Eukaryotic small subunit ribosomal RNA", at positions 569 to 1089 of the family's 1831-position model. Lineage: Eukaryota; Fungi; Glomeromycota; Glomeromycetes; Diversisporales; Acaulosporaceae. The record is from RNAcentral.